Molecule: ribosomal RNA, 1361 nt
Filed under: Vibrio sp. JZ08ML71
Lineage: Bacteria; Pseudomonadati; Pseudomonadota; Gammaproteobacteria; Vibrionales; Vibrionaceae
Description: bacterial SSU rRNA
Rfam family: Bacterial small subunit ribosomal RNA
Source: RNAcentral
UCGGGGAACGAUAACGGCGUCGAGCGGCGGACGGGUGAGUAAUGCCUAGGAAAUUGCCCUGAUGUGGGGGAUAACCAUUGGAAACGAUGGCUAAUACCGCAUAAUGCCUACGGGCCAAAGAGGGGGACCUUCGGGCCUCUCGCGUCAGGAUAUGCCUAGGUGGGAUUAGCUAGUUGGUGAGGUAAUGGCUCACCAAGGCGACGAUCCCUAGCUGGUCUGAGAGGAUGAUCAGCCACACUGGAACUGAGACACGGUCCAGACUCCUACGGGAGGCAGCAGUGGGGAAUAUUGCACAAUGGGCGCAAGCCUGAUGCAGCCAUGCCGCGUGUGUGAAGAAGGCCUUCGGGUUGUAAAGCACUUUCAGUCGUGAGGAAGGUGGUGUAGUUAAUAGCUGCAUUAUUUGACGUUAGCGACAGAAGAAGCACCGGCUAACUCCGUGCCAGCAGCCGCGGUAAUACGGAGGGUGCGAGCGUUAAUCGGAAUUACUGGGCGUAAAGCGCAUGCAGGUGGUUUGUUAAGUCAGAUGUGAAAGCCCGGGGCUCAACCUCGGAAUAGCAUUUGAAACUGGCAGACUAGAGUACUGUAGAGGGGGGGUAGAAUUUCAGGUGUAGCGGUGAAAUGCGUAGAGAUCUGAAGGAAUACCGGUGGCGAAGGCGGCCCCCUGGACAGAUACUGACACUCAGAUGCGAAAGCGUGGGGAGCAAACAGGAUUAGAUACCCUGGUAGUCCACGCCGUAAACGAUGUCUACUUGGAGGUUGUGGCCUUGAGCCGUGGCUUUCGGAGCUAACGCGUUAAGUAGACCGCCUGGGGAGUACGGUCGCAAGAUUAAAACUCAAAUGAAUUGACGGGGGCCCGCACAAGCGGUGGAGCAUGUGGUUUAAUUCGAUGCAACGCGAAGAACCUUACCUACUCUUGACAUCCAGAGAACUUUCCAGAGAUGGAUUGGUGCCUUCGGGAACUCUGAGACAGGUGCUGCAUGGCUGUCGUCAGCUCGUGUUGUGAAAUGUUGGGUUAAGUCCCGCAACGAGCGCAACCCUUAUCCUUGUUUGCCAGCGAGUAAUGUCGGGAACUCCAGGGAGACUGCCGGUGAUAAACCGGAGGAAGGUGGGGACGACGUCAAGUCAUCAUGGCCCUUACGAGUAGGGCUACACACGUGCUACAAUGGCGCAUACAGAGGGCAGCAAGCUAGCGAUAGUGAGCGAAUCCCAAAAAGUGCGUCGUAGUCCGGAUUGGAGUCUGCAACUCGACUCCAUGAAGUCGGAAUCGCUAGUAAUCGUGGAUCAGAAUGCCACGGUGAAUACGUUCCCGGGCCUUGUACACACCGCCCGUCACACCAUGGGAGUGGGCUGCAAAAGAAGUA